Molecule: long non-coding RNA, 782 nt
Organism: Lolium rigidum
Lineage: Eukaryota; Viridiplantae; Streptophyta; Magnoliopsida; Poales; Poaceae
Exons: 5
Source: RefSeq, a predicted model, not a curated record
GAGCUCCGGCACCCCGCUCGCCGGCCUCCUCGGAUUGUCGCCCGACGACAUGGACGCGGCCGUGAGCGCCGGAUGAGGCGCGCACAACCUGCAGGACCUCGCCACCGAAGCCCCACAUCCAGGCUGCCGUCCAAGAACACCUCUCGCCACCCAAAGGUUCUCUGGCAAGAGUGCAAACCAGCCCACGAGUUCACCGUGGCGGCGGUGUGCGAUGGCAGCGGGUGGCCUUGUAAUUCCACUCCGUAGGCUUUGGGUGCACAAGUGUAUGCUGAUCGGGACUACUAGUUCAACAAAGUAGCUAAAUCUUUUGUGAAGGCAAUGCAUUCACCUUCCAGGCUUCAAAUGAUGAAUUAAUUCUGUUUUUGUUGUUUAAAAUGCCUGUGGUGUUGCUACUGAUCUCGAAAGAUUGAUAUCUGCAUCUAAGUUAAUUGUGACUUGGAAACGGUUUCUAGCUCUAGUAUUUUCUUGUGUUGAUAAGAAAGAGAUCGAAAUUCUGACCAUUUGUAGCUCUAGCUUUAGAUUAUCCUUAAGUUUUUACCCAACUUCUUGUCUGGUCGACUUGAUGAAUGUGGAGCUUAAACCUGACUGGUAUUAAACAUGGGAAGAACCUGGAGCUCUUUGGAUCUGAUCUGGACCACUAGUUUAAUUUUGGAAUAAUUGGAUGUGGAGCUGGCAGCGGAGGCCUUCUUCUUCUUCGACUCGGUGGUUUUAGGUUCCCUGGCAAGGGUGCAAACCAGCCCGCGAGUUCACCGUGGCGGAGGUGUGCGAUGGCAGCGGGUGUC